RNAcentral lists this long non-coding RNA (1405 nucleotides) under Brassica napus (rape). Its description in RNAcentral is "long non-coding RNA (BNAP_LNC005016)". The record is from RNAcentral. Lineage: Eukaryota; Viridiplantae; Streptophyta; Magnoliopsida; Brassicales; Brassicaceae.
ACAGAGAACACACCAAGUCUUGUAUAUUCAAAAUAUAUAAUGCAUCAAACAAAACUUAUAUAAAGCAAGACAUGUAUUAAAGAACAAAGAUUCAGUACAAACUUUUCAAUAAACCAGAGAGUAAUAGUAACUGAGACUGCAGAAACAGAGUAUAGACUAACUUUAGUUUUAGAAACAAAAACAUUGUUUCUUCUUUCUAUAAGAAUGUCAGCAUUUGUUGUGUAUAGGAUCAGAUCCUCUUCCAAUCUUUCUUUUUACAGAUUGAUUAGGAUCAUGCAUCACAGAGGGCGCCAAGUCUCCAUUUGUAUUUAAAUUUCCUUCCUUCGAUGAUGAUGAUGACUCUUCAAGAACACGGAAGGGAUGAACAGUUAGAAGCUGCAGCCUCAUAUCUCUCUCCCAUCUUAGACUUGAGACUUUAUCCGUUUGAAGAAGUACAAAAAAUGCGAUGCCAAGAAGAAGAAACAUAUCUCGACGAACCAAAACACCCAUUUUGAACAACGUUUGUAGAUAUUAGCUACUAGCUAGCUUGUGAAGUUAAAUAUAAAUACUUGAGAGAUUAAAUAAAUGGUAAAAGGUUAAGAGAAAAAGACUAGGAUAGCACUAAACCAAGUUUAUGUUCCCAAAAUAGCACUCAAGGUUCAAAGUUACAAAAAUAGGUUUCAUUAAAGAGGUAAAUAUACACUUAUACCCCUUGGAUUAAUUAAUCCAAACCUUAGGGUUUAGAGUUAAGGGGUGGGGUUUUGGAAUUAGGGUUUAAAAUUUUAUAAAAAAAAAUAUAAAAUAAAAAAUAAAAAUUUUAAAAACAGUUUUAAAAAGUAUUUUUAAAUUAUAAAAAGAAAAUUAAAAAAAAAAAAUCGAAAAAAAAAUUAUAAAAAUUUCGAAUCUGAAAACAUAUAAUCUGAAACUAUAAAAAAAAAAUCUUUUUUUAAUUUUAUUUUAUUUAUUUUUAUUUAUUUUUGUUUGUUUAUUUAAUUUUAAACCAAGGGUAUUAGGGAUAUUUUACCCUUUAAUGAAUGUCAUUUUUGUGACUUUCUCCUUCUAGUGCUAUUUUUGACACAUAAACUUCAAAAAGUGCUAUUAUUGACAAUUGCCCAAAGGUUAAUGAAGAAGGGAGAAAUUUGUCUCUCCUUCUCUCUCUUUGGAAUGGAGAGAAGGUUGGUAAGAAGGAAGCAUAUAUAAAGGCUGGUUUUAGAAGAUCUCUCUUCUGACAAGUUUGAACCAAAAAAGCUUUACAUUUGGAACUCUGUUAUUGGGAAGCUACGCAUAUCUCUUUGUUUUUUUUUUCCACCUCCAUACUUUUUAUAUUUUAAACAUACAACACUCAUAUACAUUCACAUAUAAUAACAUUUCUGUUUAUUUGGAUAAGGUGAAUGGUGUGAUACACUAUAGAUUACUAAUAUAGUUG